AUUGAACGCUGGCGGCAUGCUUUACACAUGCAAGUCGAACGGUAACAGGCCUUCGGGUGCUGACGAGUGGCGAACGGGUGAGUAAUGCAUCGGAACGUACCCAGAGGUGGGGGAUAACGCAGCGAGAGCUGUGCUAAUACCGCAUGUGAUCUGAGGAUGAAAGCGGGGGACCGAGCAGCAAUGUUUGGCCUCGCGCCUUUGGAGCGGCCGAUGUCGGAUUAGCUAGUUGGUGGGGUAAAGGCCUACCAAGGCGACGAUCCGUAGCUGGUCUGAGAGGACGACCAGCCACACUGGGACUGAGACACGGCCCAGACUCCUACGGGAGGCAGCAGUGGGGAAUUUUGGACAAUGGGCGCAAGCCUGAUCCAGCAAUGCCGCGUGCGGGAAGAAGGCCUUCGGGUUGUAAACCGCUUUUGGCAGGAACGAAACGGUGUCCGCUAAUACCGGGCGCUAAUGACGGUACCUGCAGAAUAAGCACCGGCUAACUACGUG
RNAcentral lists this ribosomal RNA (492 nucleotides) under uncultured bacterium. Its description in RNAcentral is "partial 16S ribosomal RNA". It matches the Rfam family "Bacterial small subunit ribosomal RNA", at positions 29 to 507 of the family's 1533-position model. The record is from RNAcentral.